This 332-nucleotide unclassified non-coding RNA is filed under the name soil metagenome. Its description in RNAcentral is "partial contains 5.8S ribosomal RNA, internal transcribed spacer 2, and large subunit ribosomal RNA". The stretch from base 1 to 120 matches the Rfam family "5.8S ribosomal RNA", at positions 35 to 154 of the family's 154-position model. The record is from RNAcentral.
GAUGAAGAACGCAGCAAAAUGCGAUAAGUAAUGUGAAUUGCAGAAUUCAGUGAAUCAUCGAAUCUUUGAACGCACAUUGCGCCCGCCAGUAUUCUGGCGGGCAUGCCUGUUCGAGCGUCAUUUCAACCCUCAAGCACAGCUUGGUGUUGGGACUCGCGUUAAUUCGCGUUCCCCAAAUUGAUUGGCGGUCACGUCGAGCUUCCAUAGCGUAGUAGUAAAACCCUCGUUACUGGUAAUCGUCGCGGCCACGCCGUUAAACCCCAGCUUCUGAAUGUUGACCUCGGAUCAGGUAGGAAUACCCGCUGAACUUAAGCAUAUCAAUAAGCGGAGGA